UAUAAGCUGCGGGGAGUUGUCAACAAGUUUUGAUCCGCAGAUGUCCGAAUGGGGAAACCCGGUCAAUUUAUUGGCCAUUGCAUGCUGAAUUCAUAGGUAUGCAAGACAAACCCAGUGAACUGAAAUAUCUAAGUAGCCGGAGGAAAGGAAAUCAACAUGAGACUCCGUUAGUAGUGACGAGCGAACGCGGAACAGGUCAGUGGUCUAUAAUUAGAAACUGGAAUGCUUUGGAAAGGGCAACUAUAGUGGGUGAUAGUCCCGUACAGGUAAGAAGGUUAUAGGCCCUGAGUAGGGCGGGGCACGUGAAACCCUGCUUGAAUAUAGGGGGACCAUCCUCUAAACCUAAGUAAUCUAAGCGACGGAUAAUCCAUAAUUUCCGAGGGGCGAACAAGUUAGGCGCCCCUUUCGCAUAGACGG
RNAcentral lists this ribosomal RNA (417 nucleotides) under uncultured Anaplasma sp. Its description in RNAcentral is "partial 23S ribosomal RNA". It matches the Rfam family "Bacterial large subunit ribosomal RNA", at positions 70 to 508 of the family's 2925-position model. Lineage: Bacteria; Pseudomonadati; Pseudomonadota; Alphaproteobacteria; Rickettsiales; Anaplasmataceae. The record is from RNAcentral.